GCCUGGGUGGCUCAGUCGGUUGAGUGUCUGACUUCAGCUCAGGUCAUGAUCUCACAGUCUGUGAGUUCGAGGCUCACGUCAGGCU
RNAcentral lists this transfer RNA (85 nucleotides) under Felis catus (domestic cat). It matches the Rfam family "tRNA". From Rfam's summary of the family: Transfer RNA (tRNA) molecules are approximately 80 nucleotides in length. Their secondary structure includes four short double-helical elements and three loops (D, anti-codon, and T loops). Further hydrogen bonds mediate the characteristic L-shaped molecular structure. tRNAs have two regions of fundamental functional importance: the anti-codon, which is responsible for specific mRNA codon recognition, and the 3' end, to which the tRNAs corresponding amino acid is attached (by aminoacyl-tRNA synthetases). tRNAs cope with the degeneracy of the genetic code in two manners: having more than one tRNA (with a specific anti-codon) for a particular amino acid; and 'wobble' base-pairing, i.e. permitting non-standard base-pairing at the 3rd anti-codon position. RNAcentral also lists the same sequence under 2 other names. The record is from Rfam by way of RNAcentral. Lineage: Eukaryota; Metazoa; Chordata; Mammalia; Carnivora; Felidae.